GAUAGGUUGGAGACCUCUGUGAUGUCCUCUUACUACUGGGGAUGGGCUAAGGCUAAUACCUAUCUCUGCAAAUCUAAAACUCUAUCCGUCAGUCUCAGAAUAUAUCCCUCAAGCUGCUCAAGUCGUGCAGACUGAACUAUAAGCAUCUGAAAGACAGUAGAGAUAUGAGGGAUCAAAGUCUAGUCUGAAACAGCCUAAGAUGUCAUCCUCUGAGCAAAACCUGAGGUGGCAAACUAUUGGGAUAA
RNAcentral lists this long non-coding RNA (245 nucleotides) under Elaeis guineensis (African oil palm). Its description in RNAcentral is "long non-coding RNA (EGUI_LNC044211)". The record is from RNAcentral. Lineage: Eukaryota; Viridiplantae; Streptophyta; Magnoliopsida; Arecales; Arecaceae.